This 585-nucleotide ribosomal RNA is filed under the name uncultured fungus. RNAcentral describes it as "eukaryotic LSU rRNA". The stretch from base 211 to 364 matches the Rfam family "5.8S ribosomal RNA". Lineage: Eukaryota; Fungi. The record is from RNAcentral.
AGUCGUAACAAGGUCUCCGUAGGUGAACCUGCGGAGGGAUCAUUACACAAAUAUGAAGGCGGGCUGGAACCUCUCGGGGUUACAGCCUUGCUGAAUUAUUCACCCUUGUCUUUUGCGUACUUCUUGUUUCCUUGGUGGGUUCGCCCACCACUAGGACAAACAUAAACCUUUUGUAAUUGCAAUCAGCGUCAGUAACAAAUUAAUAAUUACAACUUUCAACAACGGAUCUCUUGGUUCUGGCAUCGAUGAAGAACGCAGCGAAAUGCGAUAAGUAGUGUGAAUUGCAGAAUUCAGUGAAUCAUCGAAUCUUUGAACACACAUUGCGCCCUUUGGUAUUCCAAAGGGCAUGCCUGUUCGAGCGUCAUUUGUACCCUCAAGCUUUGCUUGGUGUUGGGCGUCUUGUCUCUAGCUUUGCUGGAGACUCGCCUUAAAGUAAUUGGCAGCCGGCCUACUGGUUUCGGAGCGCAGCACAAGUCGCACUCUCUAUCAGCAAAGGUCUAGCAUCCAUUAAGCCUUUUUUUUCAACUUUUGACCUCGGAUCAGGUAGGGAUACCCGCUGAACUUAAGCAUAUCAAUAAAAAGUCG